CGCGGACCCGAGACGGCCGCUGUGCGGCGAGCAAUCGCCGCGCAGAGGAAAGUCCGAACACCGCAAGGCAACGCGCCGCGUGUCAAACGCGGGAGGCGAUGGCGCAAGCCGCCGCCGACGGACCAGUGUCACAGAAAACAUACCACCGGCUGCCGCAAGGCGACCGGCCAGGGUGAAAAGGCGAGGUAAAAGCUCACCGCCCGGACCGCAAGGGACGGGGCAGGAAAAACCCCGCGUGGUGCAAGACAGAACAGGGGAAACGGACCGCCUGUCCGGCCCGGCACGGCAGCUUCGGCUGCCAGGCUGGAUGACCCCGGGUAAUAGUCGCCCCCGGCUUCGGCCGGGAGUCUCACCCCGUGUGGGGCUAGAGGAAUGGCCAUCGCCCGGCUGGCAACGGCCGGGAACAAAAUUCGGCUUAUGACGGUCCGCGGAGA
This 434-nucleotide RNase P RNA is filed under the name Verrucomicrobiales bacterium. RNAcentral's name for it is "RNase P RNA component class A". It matches the Rfam family "Bacterial RNase P class A". Rfam says of the family: Ribonuclease P (RNase P) is a ubiquitous endoribonuclease, found in archaea, bacteria and eukarya as well as chloroplasts and mitochondria. Lineage: Bacteria; Pseudomonadati; Verrucomicrobiota; Verrucomicrobiia; Verrucomicrobiales. The record is from RNAcentral.